AGUGUUUUCACAAAAUGGAUAGAUGACGCGUCCGAGCUGGUGUUCUUGCAAUUCAUGCAACUCCUCAGUUUGUAACAAGAAAUCCGGAAAUGUUAAUUGUGUCUCAUACCGCGCUUUUAAAGGAAUCCUUAGCAGUUACAAUCUAGGUCACCGCAUCAGUCUAGCAGAAUGUUUUAGAGGACUUCAUGAUACCUUCUGCUGAGGAUCUGUAUGGAGAUGCAGAUUUCAUCUUCCAGCAGGACCUGGCUCCUGCCCAUACCGCUGGAAGCAGGUUUGAUGCCCAUGCCAUCACAGUGCUUGACUGGCCAGCCAACUCACCGGACCUAAACCCCCCAUUGCUAAUACCCCUUCUAUUAGCAAGAUGAAAAUGAGGGGCACCAGACCCAAAAAAAAAGAAAAGCUGACAGCAAGCAUCAAGGAAAUCUGGGCUCCCAUAACUCCCAGCCAAUGCCACAGGAUGAUUGCCUCAAUGCAACAACACAUCGAGGCAGUAAUUAAGGCAAAAGGUUUCCCUACAAAAAACUGAGAAGUAAAUCGUGAUUUCUUCACAAUCCAAUUUUUUUGAAAUCAUAAUUUUGUGGCCUUUAUGAACUGGAAGCCCAAUUCAUG
Long non-coding RNA from Nerophis ophidion (straightnose pipefish), 609 nucleotides. RefSeq lists it as uncharacterized. The transcript has 3 exons. Lineage: Eukaryota; Metazoa; Chordata; Actinopteri; Syngnathiformes; Syngnathidae. The record is from RefSeq and is a predicted model, not a curated record.